This is a long non-coding RNA of Callorhinchus milii (elephant shark), 527 nucleotides long. RefSeq lists it as uncharacterized. The record is from RefSeq and is a predicted model, not a curated record. Lineage: Eukaryota; Metazoa; Chordata; Chondrichthyes; Chimaeriformes; Callorhinchidae. The transcript is spliced from 3 exons.
CGUUCGUGGGUUAAUAGCUGUGAACGUCCUGACCAUAGAAGGGAAGUCCUCAGCAACUUCACUGAAGGAAAGAUUUGACUGAGACUUGAUGCCUCAGUUAUCCAGAGAGAACAAAACAAAGCAUGCUUCACUUUGAUGAUCUGGCUAAUUGUAAGCACAGGGGUUCCACUUCAUCUCUUUGUAGACUGAAUGCCUGGAGGCAAAGAUUGACCUUGAGGGAGAUUUGUGGAAAAAACAUGAAGAAGCGUAUCUACUUCUGGAUAUUAUAGAUAUUGACUGUUCUGCUGCACUGGAGAGAGAGAGAAAAACAUAAGGAAGGGAAGAUCUUAAACACAAACCAGCUAGUCACGGAUUUAAAAAUGUUACAGCUGAAAACAUUCCUCUACUUUAAUGCUCCAACUAUGUCUUGACUUAACUAUUUAUAGGCUGAUGACUAAAGUCAUAUUCAAAAGAGCGAAGUGUUAUCUAAACUUGAAUGCAUAUAAAUCAAUCGGAAUGUAUUUACAGAAGUAUUACAUAAAGAUUCA